Molecule: ribosomal RNA, 495 nt
Filed under: uncultured bacterium
Lineage: Bacteria
Description: partial 16S ribosomal RNA
Rfam family: Bacterial small subunit ribosomal RNA
Source: RNAcentral
UGAACGCUGGCGGCGUGCCUAAUACAUGCAAGUCGAGCGAACGGACGAGAAGCUUGCUUCUCUGAUGUUAGCGGCGGACGGGUGAGUAACACGUGGAUAACCUACCUAUAAGACUGGGAUAACUUCGGGAAACCGGAGCUAAUACCGGAUAAUAUUUUGAACCGCAUGGUUCAAAAGUGAAAGACGGUCUUGCUGUCACUUAUAGAUGGAUCCGCGCUGCAUUAGCUAGUUGGUAAGGUAACGGCUUACCAAGGCAACGAUGCAUAGCCGACCUGAGAGGGUGAUCGGCCACACUGGAACUGAGACACGGUCCAGACUCCUACGGGAGGCAGCAGUAGGGAAUCUUCCGCAAUGGGCGAAAGCCUGACGGAGCGACGCCGCGUGAGUGAUGAAGGUCUUCGGAUCGUAAAACUCUGUUAUUAGGGAAGAACAUAUGUGUAAGUAACUGUGCACAUCUUGACGGUACCUAAUCAGAAAGCCACGGCUAACUACGUG